RNAcentral lists this long non-coding RNA (1272 nucleotides) under Anolis carolinensis (green anole). RNAcentral describes it as "lncRNA (ENSACAG00000044893.1)". The record is from RNAcentral. Lineage: Eukaryota; Metazoa; Chordata; Lepidosauria; Squamata; Anolidae.
AAUCCCACAAUAUCUGUUUUGAACUGGGACCCUUUCCACACAGCUGGAUAAAAUCCAACAUUUUCUGCUUUGGCAGUGUGGACUCAGAUAACCCAGUUCAAAGCAGAUAUUGUGGGAUUUUCUGCCUUGAUAUUCUAGGUUAUAUGACUGUGUGGAAGGGCUCUGGCCUAUUGGAAUCCAAACUGACAUACUGUAUAUUCCAGUUCAAAACAGAAAAUGUGGGAUUUUAUUCAGCUGUGUGGAAGGGGCUGAAGUGACCAGGUUCAUUCAGGUCAAAGGAAAUUUAGUAUAAUGCCAAGUUUUUAACUUUGUUUGUGGCUUUUAAAUACAUUAUAACUGUAUUUUCAAUUCGCUUCUGACACAAUAAAUUAAUAAAUUAAUUGUAUUUAUAUUAUUUUUAGUUUUGUUGUCUUUUUUAUGGUUGUUUUAGACUAUAUAAAAACGUGUGGCUUCACAAAAGAUGCUCUACCCUUGUUUUCAGCCUGACCUACCUUGUGAGCACUGCUGAGGGAAUACAAUGGUGAGGGACCACUGAGGUCCUUGAGGGCAAAGAGCAUUUUGAAACUGGCAAUCCUUAGAAUGAGGUGAUAGAGUCUGCACCCAUUUCCGAAAUCUCACUUCGAGCCUCCUUUUCGGUUCACUGACCUUUCUCUGCCUCCCUGAGCACAAAGCAUCUCCCCUCAGGGCGGGCCUUGAUAACCAACCAUUCCCGGUCCUUAAGGGACUGCUGCUCUCUCUGAGGGGAAACUCAAGCAAUGAGGCGAGGGAACGAAAGCGGCGUGACGUCGGGCCGCUAGGGGGAGCGCGCGAGACACUCAGUGCGCGAGUGCGUGCGUGUGUGCGCGCGCGCUCGUCUAAGAUGGUACCAAACUCGGCCCUGUUCAAGGCUUUCUCGAAGGCGGCUCCCGAAGCCAUCUCCGCGCGCUCUACUGCGCGCAAGGCUUCACGGGAAUUGUAGUACCGCGCCUCCUUUCGUGUGGAAACACAGAGCGGGUAUGGCGGGAGGACAGCAGCAGACGGUGGGAAGGCGCCGUCCGUCCGCCAUUUUGUUUCCUUGUGGUCCAACCAACGGUCAGAUAUUCCCACCUCAACAUCUUUGAACUUACUCGCCCAACGAUGCACAGUGCUCACAUCAACACAAUCACCACAAAUGGUUUGCAUUCUCUGAUGAAUCUCCUUUGGGGUGACACUUUCUGCUGUCAAGAAUUCAAUGACUGCAUGUUGCUUAAGUCGCAUUGACCGACCGUCUGCACAGGGUUCCAUACUUUGCAC